RNAcentral lists this long non-coding RNA (1480 nucleotides) under Homo sapiens (human). RNAcentral's name for it is "HSALNT0048476". Lineage: Eukaryota; Metazoa; Chordata; Mammalia; Primates; Hominidae. The record is from RNAcentral.
CAAAUCUUAGAACUCAAUAGAGACAAAAUAUUCAAUUUUUUUUAAGUGGGAAGGGAAGAUGAUUUGAACAGAUACUUCAUCAAAGAAGAUAUACAAAUGGCAAAUUAAACACAUAAAAAGAUGCUCAACAUCACUAGUCAUCAGGGAAAUGCAAAUGAAAGCCCUGAUGAGAUACUGUUACACACCUAUUAGCAUGGCUAAAAUUAGAAAGACUGGCAAUACUAAGAGCAGACAAGGAGGCAGAGCAACUGGAAAUCUCAUGCAUGCAAAAUGGAACAAUCACAUCGGAAAACAGUUUGGUAGUUUCUGACAGAAUUACACUAAUGUUUAUCAUUUGGCCCAGCAACCCCUUCCCAGGCACUGAAAUAAAAACAUAGGUCCACGCAAAGACCUGUACAUGGAUGAUCAUUGCAGCUUUAUUUGUAAUGGCCAAAAACUGGAAGGAACUCACACGCCGAUCAGCAAGUAAAUUGAUGGAGUCUCAUUCUGUCGCCCAGGCUGGAGUGUGGUGGUGCCAUUUCAGCUCACUGCAACCUCCACCUUUCAGGUUCAAGCGAUUCUCCUGCCUCAGCCUCCCGAGUAGUGCCCGCCACCACGCCUGGCUAAUUUUUGUAUUUUUAGUAGACGGGGUUUUGCCAUGUUGGCCAGGCUGGUCUCAAACCCCUGACCUCAAGUGAUCCACCCACCUCAGGUCCCAAAAUGCUGGGAUUACAGGCGCCCAGCCCCCAUCCAGGUGCUCUAAACAGCUGAAUAAAAUCCAGGAACACCCUAGACUGAGGACUUCAGGAUGCUGAUGCGCUAAUUAGCUAUCAGACCAGGUGCACAAAAUCGGAGCUCACCACCUUGUUUAUUUUGCCAACUGCUAGGGGUAGAAUAAAUGAAACAAAGACCUACUGGCCAGAUGCGUUGGCUCACCUGUAAUCCCAGCACUUUGGGAAGCCAAGGUGGGAGGAUCACUUGAGGCCAGGAGUUCAAGAUCAGCCUGGGCAAAAUAAUGAGACCACUCCCCCUCCCCCCAACCCCGUCUCUAAAGGAAAAACUUAGCUGGGCAUGGUGACAUGCAACUGUAGUCCCAGCUAAUCUGGAAGCUGAAGCAGGAGGAUCCCUUGAGCUCAGGACUUCGAAGUUACAGUAGCUGUGAUCUUAUCUCUGCCCUCCAGGCUGGGCAAUAGAGUAAGACUCUGUUUCAAAAGAAAAAGAGCUACUGACUCAGAAAGGCUGAUAAUCACAAUGAGCUUUCAAAGGCUUUUCCAGAGGACUGUUUUUUCACUUUUUAUCUUCUAUGCUACCAUAUAUCAUUGCAUCCAGGACACCAUAGAUCGUAUAAGGCAGGAAAAUAAGUUGCAAAGUAAACUAUGCCACCAUGCUUUUUCAUUUCUUAGGAGUUGUACUGUAUAUUUAUUGAAGCUUAUUCGGACAGAUGUUCAUCCUAUAUCACCUUUGGUCACAUUAAAAUAGAGAUGCAAAGAAAAUGAGUUGG